This 740-nucleotide ribosomal RNA is filed under the name Amplirhagada sp. 'Mt York'. RNAcentral describes it as "partial 16S ribosomal RNA". It matches the Rfam family "Archaeal large subunit ribosomal RNA", at positions 788 to 2629 of the family's 2987-position model. The record is from RNAcentral. Lineage: Eukaryota; Metazoa; Mollusca; Gastropoda; Stylommatophora; Camaenidae.
CACGAAACCAGGCGAGCUACUAUGGGGCGUAUAAUGGUACACAUAUAUGUAACAUAAUAAUAGUAGACCCGAUAGUAGGGGUGAUAGGCUAUCAAGUCUGGUGAUAUCUUGUUAACUUUGAAAUGUAUUAAGUACUAUUACAGUUCGCCAGUGAUAAGGCUGGCGAAUAUUAUGUAAGGUGAUUCUCCACUGUAACAAAGUCUAAUCGCUAGUACCCGAUGAUUUUAACAUCUGUAUUUUUUUAUUAAUAUAAUCUAAAAGUUGGUAUAGAACUUUAAAAGAUAUUCAUACUGUGGGUAUUAGUAGUAUAUUUACCGCUGAUGAACUCGGCAACAUUUCUCCCACCUGUUUAUCAAAAACAUUGCCAGCAGUAGGUACCGUUGGUAAGUUCUGCUCAAUGUAUAUUAUUAAUAGCCGCAGUACCCUGACUGUGCAAAGGUAGCAUAAUCAUUUGGCUUAUAAUUGAAGUCUAGUAUGAAUGAAUUCAUGGGGGAAAACUCUAUUGGCGGUAUUAAGAACUUGCUUGGUGGGUGCAAAUACCCAUAUCUAAAUAAAAGACGAGAAGACCCUAGAAAUUUUUAUGACACGUAUAAGAAGUUUUUGUUGGGGCAACAUAGUAGCAUGGAACCUACUUUAAUAACAAGACAUUUAAUAGUAAGAUUAAAUUACUCUAGGGAUAACAGCGUAAUUCUAUGUGAGUUUGCGACCUCGAUGUUGGACUAGGGAGCGAAUACUUAGAA